Molecule: ribosomal RNA, 253 nt
Filed under: uncultured bacterium
Lineage: Bacteria
Description: partial 16S ribosomal RNA
Rfam family: Bacterial small subunit ribosomal RNA
Source: RNAcentral
UACGUAGGGGGCAAGCGUUGUCCGGAAUCAUUGGGCGUAAAGCGCGCGUAGGCGGCCCGGUAAGUCCGCUGUAAAAGUCAAAGGCUCAACCUUUGAAUGCCGGUGGAUACUGUCAGGCUAGAGUCCGGAAGAGGCGAGUGGAAUUCCUGGUGUAGCGGUGGAAUGCGCAGAUAUCAGGAGGAACACCAAUAGCGAAGGCAGCUCGCUGGGACGGUACUGACGCUCAGGCGCGAAAGCGUGGGGAGCAAACAGG